This 441-nucleotide ribosomal RNA is filed under the name uncultured bacterium. RNAcentral's name for it is "partial 16S ribosomal RNA". It matches the Rfam family "Bacterial small subunit ribosomal RNA", at positions 338 to 795 of the family's 1533-position model. The record is from RNAcentral.
CCUACGGGUGGCAGCAGUGGGGGAUAUUGCACAAUGGGGGAAACCCUGAUGCAGCGACGCCGCGUGGGUGAAGAAGUAUUUCGGUGUGUAAAGCCCUAUCAGUAGGGAAGAAAGAAGACGGUAUCUGACUAAGAAGCCCCGGCUAACUACGCGCCAGCAGCCGCGGUAAUACGUUGGGGGCGAGCGUUACCCGGAUGCACUGGGUGGAAAGGGAGCGUAGACGGCCGUGCAAGCCAGGAGUGAAAGCCCGGGGCCCAACCCCGGGACUGCUCAUGGAACUGUGCGGCUAGAGUGCGGGAGGGGCAGGCGGAAUUCCUGGGGUAGCGGUGAAAUGCGUAGAUAUCGGGAGGAACACCGGCGGCGAAGGCGGCCUGCUGGACCGCGACUGACGUUGAGGCUCGAAGGCGUGGGGAGCGAACAGGAUUAGAUACCCGUGUAGUC